RNAcentral lists this ribosomal RNA (492 nucleotides) under uncultured bacterium. RNAcentral's name for it is "partial 16S ribosomal RNA". It matches the Rfam family "Bacterial small subunit ribosomal RNA", at positions 29 to 507 of the family's 1533-position model. The record is from RNAcentral.
AGUGAACGCUGGCGGUAGGCCUAACACAUGCAAGUCGAACGGCAGCACAGUAAGAGCUUGCUCUUACGGGUGGCGAGUGGCGGACGGGUGAGGAAUACAUCGGAAUCUACUUUUUCGUGGGGGAUAACGUAGGGAAACUUACGCUAAUACCGCAUACGACCUACGGGUGAAAGCAGGGGAUCUUCGGACCUUGCGCGAUUGAAUGAGCCGAUGUCGGAUUAGCUAGUUGGCGGGGUAAAGGCCCACCAAGGCGACGAUCCGUAGCUGGUCUGAGAGGAUGAUCAGCCACACUUGAACUGAGACACGGUCCCGACUCCUACGGGAGGCAGCAGUGGGGAAUAUUAGACAAUUGGCGCAAGCCUGAUCCAGCCCUACCGCGUGGGUGAAGAAGGCCUUCGGGUUUUAAAGCCCUUUUGUUGGGAAAGAAAAGCAGCAGGUUAAUACCCCGCUGUUCUGACGGUACCCAAAGAAUAAGCACCGGCUAACUUCGUG